GUAGGUGGCAAGCGUUGUCCGGAAUUAUUGGGCGUAAAGCGCGCGCAGGUGGUUCUUUAAGUCUGAUGUGAAAGCCCCCGGCUCAACCGGGGAGGGUCAUUGAAAACUGGGGAACUUGAGUGCAGGAGAGGAAAGUGGAAUUCCACGUGUAGCGGUGAGAUGCGUAGAUAUGUGGAGGAACACCAGUGGCGAAGGCGACUUUCUGGCCUGUAACUGACACUGAGGCGCGAAAGCGUGGGGAGCAAACAGGGAUUAGAUACCCUGGUAGUCCACGCCGUAAACGAUGAGUGCUAAGUGUUGGGGGGGUUUCCGCCCCCUCAGUGCUGCAGCUAACGCAUUAAGCACUCCGCCUGGGAGUACGGUCGCAAGACUG
RNAcentral lists this ribosomal RNA (373 nucleotides) under uncultured organism. RNAcentral describes it as "partial 16S ribosomal RNA". It matches the Rfam family "Bacterial small subunit ribosomal RNA", at positions 527 to 896 of the family's 1533-position model. The record is from RNAcentral.